RNAcentral lists this ribosomal RNA (696 nucleotides) under Isochrysis cf. galbana. RNAcentral describes it as "bacterial SSU rRNA". It matches the Rfam family "Bacterial small subunit ribosomal RNA", at positions 562 to 1270 of the family's 1533-position model. Lineage: Eukaryota; Haptophyta; Isochrysidales; Isochrysidaceae. The record is from RNAcentral.
AAAGCGCCUGUAGGUUGUUUAAUAAGUCUGUUGUUAAAGACUAGGGCUCAACCCUAGAAAAGCAAUGGAUACUACUAGACUAGAGUAUGGCAGGGGUAGAGGGAAUUUCUAGUGUAGCGGUGAAAUGCGUAGAUAUUAGAAAGAACACCGGUGGCGAAAGCGCUCUACUGGACCAUUACUGACACUCAGAGGCGAAAGCUAGGGUAGCAAAAGGGAUUAGAUACCCCUGUAGUCCUAGCCGUAAACGAUGGAUACUAGAUGUUGUAUUUAUUUUACAGUAUCGUAGCUAACGCGUUAAGUAUCCCGCCUGGGGAGUACGCUCGCAAGGGUGAAACUCAAAGGAAUUGACGGGGGCCCGCACAAGCGGUGGAGCAUGUGGUUUAAUUCGAUGCAACGCGAAGAACCUUACCAGGGCUUGACAUACUGCGAAUCUCCUUGAAAGGGGAGAGUGCCUUCGGGAAUGCAGAUACAGGUGGUGCAUGGCUGUCGUCAGCUCGUGUCGUGAGAUGUUGGGUUAAGUCCCGCAACGAGCGCAACCCUUGUUUUUAGUUACCAAUUCGUUGGGUUUUCUAGAAAGACUGCCGGUGACAAACCGGAGGAAGGUGAGGAUGACGUCAGUCAGCAUGCCCCUUAUGUCCUGGCUACACACGUGCUACAUGGUUAGGACAAAGAGUGGCAGUUUGCAAAAACAAGCUA